RNA transcript from Phalaenopsis equestris, 1048 nucleotides. It is a transcript of the gene named pentatricopeptide repeat-containing protein At5g04810, chloroplastic-like, with no coding region annotated. NCBI's taxonomy places the organism in Eukaryota, Viridiplantae, Streptophyta, Magnoliopsida, Asparagales, Orchidaceae. The record is from RefSeq and is a predicted model, not a curated record. The transcript is spliced from 3 exons.
AAUAAAACUUAUUAACAUUAUUUACUUUAGCAUAUUAUAUCGUUAAUUUGAAUAAUAACAUAAGGCUUAACAUUUUUCUUAUAGAUUUUCAGGUCGAUCUCCUUCCUCCCCAGCUUGUCCACUUCACCAACUCCUCUUUACAGCAGCAACAGGGAGCCUUCUACUUCAAGUGAAGCUCGUCUCUUCGAUCAGAUGCACGAGUAUCUCUCGACAAAGCUGCGUACUUCACCCUCCUCCCUCGGCUUAUUCUUCCCCUUCAACUUCUACUGCAGGCAAGCAUGGAGUUGCUCCUCUUCUUUGGUUCCAUCUCACCCCAACAGAGCACGCGACAUAGUUGAUGAUGCCAAAUCAUCAUUACUGCUGAUGUUUUGACCAUGGUUUAAAAUUUAGCAAUAAGGCAACAGAUGUGAUCGAAGAAAUGGAGGCUGCUGGAGUUAAGCCUAACAUCAAAACAUUUACUACCAUGAUCAGGGGUUGGGCUCGGGCUUCACUUCCCGAGAAGGCUUUAAUGUAUUUUGAUGAGAUGAAAAGGAGAGGAUUGAAGCCAGAUAAUGCUGUUUAUCAUUGCUUAAUGACUUCGCUUUUGUCGCGGUCGACUGCAUCCGAGUACGUGUUCUCCGGGAUUUUGAGUGUAUGCAGAGAAAUGGUUGAUGGUGAAUUGACCGUUGACAUGGGCACUGCAGUUCAUUGGUCUAAAUGUUUGUUGAAGAUAGAGAGAGCAGGUGGUGAGCUCACAGAGGCAUUGCAGAAGACUUUCCCUCCUGCUUGGAAUUCAAGCAAAUUAGUCUUUACAAGAUCCGACCAAAUAAAGAUUGUAGACGCUACUGAUAGGAAUAAUUUUGAAAACAGGUAUAGUGAUGAUGAUGAUGAUUUGUAUAAUGUCUGAUUUAAACGUCUAUCCACUAUUUGAAUGUUCAUAUUGCAUAUCGGCCUCUUCUUCACUAUUUAUUUAUAUCUCAUGAGCUUGUUUUUAUUUUUCAUUGGAAGGCCACCAUGUCUUGCAGACACUAUGAUGCAAGACAAUAUGGAUGCAGUGUAAAUGCAUAAA